GUGCUUGCUUUGUCAGCACAUUUACUAAAAUUGUAACCAUACAGAGAUUAGCAUGGCCCCUGUGCAAGGAUGACAUGCAAAUUUGUAAAGUGUUCCAUAUUUUU
Molecule: small nuclear RNA, 104 nt
Organism: Ictidomys tridecemlineatus (thirteen-lined ground squirrel)
Lineage: Eukaryota; Metazoa; Chordata; Mammalia; Rodentia; Sciuridae
Source: Ensembl